This 507-nucleotide ribosomal RNA is filed under the name uncultured bacterium. RNAcentral's name for it is "partial 16S ribosomal RNA". It matches the Rfam family "Bacterial small subunit ribosomal RNA", at positions 30 to 523 of the family's 1533-position model. The record is from RNAcentral.
AUUGAACGCUGGCGGCAGGCCUAACACAUGCAAGUCGAACGGUAACAGGAAGAAGCUUGCUUCUUUGCUGACGAGUGGCGGACGGGUGAGUAAUGUCUGGGAAACUGCCUGAUGGAGGGGGAUAACUACUGGAAACGGUAGCUAAUACCGCAUAACGUCGCAAGACCAAAGAGGGGGACCUUCGGGCCUCUUGCCAUCGGAUGUGCCCAGAUGGGACUUAGGUAGUAGGUGGGGUAACGGCUCACCUAGGCGACGAUCCCUAGCUGAUCUGAGAGAAUGACCGGCCACAUUGGAGCGGAGACACGGUCGUGACGCCUACGGGCGGCGGCAGUGUGGAAUAUUGAAGAAUGGGGGCAAUACUGAUGAAGGCAUGCCGUGUGUAUGAAGAAGGCCUUCGUGUUGUAAAGUACUUUCAGCGGGGAGGAAGGGAGUAAAGUUAAUACCUUGGCUCAUUGACGUUACCCGCAGAUGAAGGACCGGCUAACUCCGUGCCAGCCGCCGCAGUAA